Molecule: long non-coding RNA, 1091 nt
Filed under: Theobroma cacao (cacao)
Lineage: Eukaryota; Viridiplantae; Streptophyta; Magnoliopsida; Malvales; Malvaceae
Description: long non-coding RNA (TCAC_LNC006377)
Source: RNAcentral
AGUUAUACGUAAAUAAUUUUUAUAGCAUAAAAGUUAAAUAAAUUCAUACAUACUGUAAUACAGUAAGCUAAAGUAUUUAAUUUAAUUUACAAUAACAAGUGGGCCCCCGAAUAAACAAAAGUAAAGAGGACUAUGAACCUACAGUUUGGUAAAUGCAAGUCCAAUGGUAGUCCUCGAUGAGAUCAGCUAUCUACAGUCUAUUCUGAGCCUGAAAUAGAGGGAAAAGAGAGUGGUGAGAUUAUAAAAUCCCAAUGAGUAAAAAAACAUCAUUUAAAAUAUCUAAAGUCGAGUAAAAGGAGACUAUUAAAACAUUUCAUCUAAAUAUGUUUUUCAUAACAUAAAUACUCAUUUCAUUUAAGUAAUCAACAUGGCUUAUGAGUAUUUUAAAAGCUUGGCUCCUGCCAAAAUCAUUCUGGGGGAUACCUUGGUCGAGGCAUGUAACUGAGUCCGCCAAGGCUGUUAAAAAUUUUGUUUACACAAACAAUUUAUUAGUUUGAAAAAAAAACACAGUCGUUCCUUGACAUUAGCGGAGUUCAUCAUCACGAGGUGGUUCGGCAUGACGUGAACUCUAACCAUACCUCAGGAGAUACCCUACGUGCCUCUCCGAUCGAGGUACAUAUAUAUAUCAAGAUUUUGUAUCAUUCUAAUAGGCUGGUCCACAGAAUUCACCUACUACAGCAAGCUAAACUCACCAUAUAAUAAAAUUUUGACAGCAUGACAGGGCUAAUAUUUUACUAGCCAGUCUACAAGGGUAAAAUAAAACAAUUCAUACAAUUCAUAAAACACAGUCCAGCCAGUCAUGCCAACACAAUAACAAUAUAACAUAAGCCAUCAAUUUUCAAUCAUAAAUUUACAACAUAUCGGUGGUCUCCAAUUACUUUAUUUUCAAAAUCGUUAUUUCAUUUCAAGACAAUUUAUAAAAUCUUUUCAUUUAAACACAUUUUUGUUUAUAAAACCUAAAAUUAGCCAUUUAACUCAUUUUUCAUAAAAUUUCACCAAAACCGAGUUAAAACAUAUUUUAGAUAAUUAAAAUGAUGAUAAGGUUACUCACAAUGUCUAGAGUGGGGAUUUUUGAAGUACUCAGACUACUG